This 220-nucleotide ribosomal RNA is filed under the name uncultured bacterium. RNAcentral's name for it is "partial 16S ribosomal RNA". It matches the Rfam family "Bacterial small subunit ribosomal RNA", at positions 28 to 250 of the family's 1533-position model. The record is from RNAcentral.
GAUGAACGCUAGCGGCAGGCUUAAUACAUGCAAGUCGAGGGGCAGCACGAAUAGCAAUAUUUGGUGGCGACCGGCAAACGGGUGCGGAACACGUACGCAACCUUCCUUUAAGUGGAGAAUAGCCCGGGAACCCGGAUUAUACUCGUAACAUUAUAAAGUGGCAUCACUUAGUAAUUAUAGAUUUAUCGCUUAAGAUGGGCGUGCGCCUGAUUAGGUAGUU